UACAGAGGUCUCAAACGUUGUUCGGAUUCAUUGGGCGUAAAGGGUGCGUAGGCGGCGCGGUAAGUCGGGUGUGAAAUCUCGGGGCUUAACUCCGAAACUGCAUUCGAUACUGCCGUGCUUGAGGACUGGAGAGGAGACUGGAAUUUACGGUGUAGCGGUGAAAUGCGUAGAUAUCGUAAGGAAGACCAGUGGCGAAGGCGGGUCUCUGGACAGUUCCUGACGCUGAGGCGCGAAGGUCAGGGGAGCAAACGGG
This 253-nucleotide ribosomal RNA is filed under the name uncultured bacterium. Its description in RNAcentral is "partial 16S ribosomal RNA". It matches the Rfam family "Bacterial small subunit ribosomal RNA", at positions 524 to 776 of the family's 1533-position model. The record is from RNAcentral.